UAAAAUAAAUACAGCCCAUCUAUAUUUUCAACCCAAAAAUUCAGCACAAUUAAAUUAAAUACAACCCAUCUAUAUUUUCAACCCUAAAUUACAGCUCAAAUAUUCAUCCCCUCACUUUAAGGUUCAGCGCCGCGCCUUCUCUCUCGUUUCUUCUCCCAGUCGAAACAUUCCUCCUUUCCACAUGCGCCGCUGCCCGCGAGAAGCUUUCCAUCAUCUUCUCUCUCCCUUCGCCUCAUCCUCUGCCGGCGAAAAACCUGCAACUGUAUCACGGCAAGCCGCCGUCCAAAAGCCCUAGAUCCCUAAGCCACCAACUCCGCCCUCACAUCUAGGCAUUGGCGCAACUCAGUGGCGUCGCCACUCUCCUCGACGACGAUAAAUGCGCCACUGCACAGCCCGUAUCCAGUCGCCGCCGUACGGGUUUCAAACUACGGCGUCGCCCAAGCCCUAGCCUCCAGAUCUCGGCCUGCUCCCUCGCGCUACUGAUCCGAUUUCCCCUCUUGGGUGUUCUUUUUUGGGAGGAAGAGGAAGAAGAAGAGAGAGCGACCUUAUUGUUAAGGUCUGGAGCAGGCGUUUUUAUGUUGAUCCAAGAGAUAACCACUUUCAUGCUCUAUUGAUAGAUACAGAUCUUCAUCUUCAUCUGGAAAGAAAAUUUCAGAAAAAUAUCAGCCUCUUCAUGUAUAAAUUAGAAAUAAUUGUUGUAAUAAUCUCUUAGUAUCUCUAUUGUAACUGUGACUAAUAGUUAGCCAAAAGCAAAAAAAAAAAAAAAAAGUACUACAUAUAAACAUAAAAACAAAAAAAAAAGAAAUAGAAGAACUAAACUGCAAAAAAUGAGAGUACGACAUAGAAACAUAAAAACCAUAAAAUAGAGAGGGAAAGAGAAUAAAAACCAUAAAAUAGAGAGAGAGAGUUUGCAGAGUAAAUUUGAUCUGAAAUUAUUUCAUAUUUAUAGGCUAAGUGUGACAAAUUGGCUCCAAGAUUAGUUGUUUUUAAAUUUCAAAUUAUGGUUUGGGCGUCAUUUUUGGAGCAAAAAAAUUUUAAAUUCAAAUUUGGGCUGAAUUGUUGGAGCCAAAACUGCUAACCUUCUUAAACCCAGCGGACAAAACUCAGCAAGAUACUUUGGCUAAACGAUGUUGCUCUUGGAGGGAAACACAUUCCCCUAGGAUUUUAUGCUUUAAUAUAUGUAUAGAUAGAUAUUGAAUUGAUAGGAUUUUCAAAAUAUUUUUGAGAAAAUUAUCUACUGUGAAUAGUAAUUCAUAGACUUUUUGAAAUAUUCUUUAGAAAAUUAUAUUUUACUCCCUCCGUCCCAUAAUAAGUGGCCACAUUUCCUUUUUCGUCUGUCCCACUAUAAGUGGCUGCUUUCUAAAAAUGGAAAUAAUUUAACUGAAUUAAGAUCAUUUAAGUUACUAACUAAACCCUUAAUUAUGUUUAAAAUAAACAUAUACUCACACCCUAUACACACACAUAGAGAGAGCAGCAGCCCUUCUAUCUUCUUCUCUGGCGGGAUGCCACCCCUAUCGCCGCUGCCGCCUCUCCGGCCGCCGCCGCCUUUCGCCCAUAUCGCCGUCGCCGCCUCUCUUCCUCUCUCUCGUUACAGAUCCCGUGAUCUCUCUCUCCCUCCCUCUCACCGUCGUAUCCUUGGGCGAUUUGAGGGAUUCGAAGCUCGCCGCCCAAAUGCGUGAGGUCGUGCACCGAUUUGGGGGCUAGGGCUCGCCUGCGCCGAUUUGGGUGAGGUCGUCGUCCUCCCUCUCUCCCUCUAUUCUCUUUCAGAUCUGGUUUGGGGGCAAGAUCUGGUUUUGAUUUCUGGUUUUUGAGUGGCGGUGGUGGUGGUGAUUGUUGGCGGCGGUGGUGGUUGUUGGCAGAUUGGGAGGGAGACGAGGGGGACAGAGGGAGAAGAGGGUGGCGGCGACUUCGCUGGAGGAAGGGGUGGCUGAUGCCGGCGACUUCGCCGGAGGUGGGUGGCAGUGGAUGAAGAAGAAAGUGAAAAGAAGAAUAAAUUAUUUUAAUUAAUUCAAUAAUUUUGAUGGGCCCCACUCAAUUAAAACAUAACACUUCAUUUCUUAAUCUCCGUGCCAAAAAGAAUGUGGCCACUUAUUAUGGGACGGAGGGAGUACUUUUCUAUUUACACUUCGCUGCUCUGUUGGUCUUCGGCUCGCUGUUGGUCUUCGUUGUUUUGGACGUUUUCUUUGCUCUGCCUUCCUCCGCUUUCCUGUCUUGUUUUGCUUCCUUUUCGCUUGGGUUUGUUGUCUUUUCCUCGCUUUGGGGUUUUUCUGCCUUUUGCCUUGAUUGCGCUUGUGCUCUCAAGGGUUUUUUUUCUUCUUUAAUAAAAUUUCUAUUUCAGCAGUUG
Molecule: long non-coding RNA, 2344 nt
Organism: Salvia miltiorrhiza (redroot sage)
Lineage: Eukaryota; Viridiplantae; Streptophyta; Magnoliopsida; Lamiales; Lamiaceae
Exons: 4
Source: RefSeq, a predicted model, not a curated record